This is a long non-coding RNA of Oncorhynchus gorbuscha (pink salmon), 265 nucleotides long. RefSeq lists it as uncharacterized. The record is from RefSeq and is a predicted model, not a curated record. The transcript is spliced from 3 exons. Lineage: Eukaryota; Metazoa; Chordata; Actinopteri; Salmoniformes; Salmonidae.
CAGAUUCACAAUACCGAGCGUGUCUCAAACCGUCCCGCGCUUUUAUCUGCCUAAAGGUAUCUUCACCCACGACUGGAAAGGCCUUUUAGAUACGCUUGUCCAAGGCCCAAGACAUAAAGUCGCCUGAAAGCUGUGUAGCAAUAAUUCCAGCUCCUGACCCAUAGGAUGGUAAUCACAUACAUGAUUGGCUUAAUCAAGAAUCAUGGAUACCUUUCAUAACUCAUCACAAGUUGGAACUAGUGGUCAACAUUGGGACAAUGCAGCC